RNAcentral lists this ribosomal RNA (2144 nucleotides) under Escherichia coli. Its description in RNAcentral is "partial 23S ribosomal RNA". It matches the Rfam family "Bacterial large subunit ribosomal RNA", at positions 1 to 2160 of the family's 2925-position model. Lineage: Bacteria; Pseudomonadati; Pseudomonadota; Gammaproteobacteria; Enterobacterales; Enterobacteriaceae. The record is from RNAcentral.
GGGUUGUGAGGUUAAGCGACUAAGCGUACACGGUGGAUGCCCUGGCAGUCAGAGGCGAUGAAGGACGUGCUAAUCUGCGAUAAGCGUCGGUAAGGUGAUAUGAACCGUUAUAACCGGCGAUUUCCGAAUGGGGAAACCCAGUGUGAUUCGUCACACUAUCAUUAACUGAAUCCAUAGGUUAAUGAGGCGAACCGGGGGAACUGAAACAUCUAAGUACCCCGAGGAAAAGAAAUCAACCGAGAUUCCCCCAGUAGCGGCGAGCGAACGGGGAGGAGCCCAGAGCCUGAAUCAGUGUGUGUGUUAGUGGAAGCGUCUGGAAAGGCGCGCGAUACAGGGUGACAGCCCCGUACACAAAAAUGCACAUGCUGUGAGCUCGAUGAGUAGGGCGGGACACGUGGUAUCCUGUCUGAAUAUGGGGGGACCAUCCUCCAAGGCUAAAUACUCCUGACUGACCGAUAGUGAACCAGUACCGUGAGGGAAAGGCGAAAAGAACCCCGGCGAGGGGAGUGAAAAAGAACCUGAAACCGUGUACGUACAAGCAGUGGGAGCACAGAGCAAUCUGUGUGACUGCGUACCUUUUGUAUAAUGGGUCAGCGACUUAUAUUCUGUAGCAAGGUUAACCGAAUAGGGGAGCCGAAGGGAAACCGAGUCUUAACCGGGCGUUAAGUUGCAGGGUAUAGACCCGAAACCCGGUGAUCUAGCCAUGGGCAGGUUGAAGGUUGGGUAACACUAACUGGAGGACCGAACCGACUAAUGUUGAAAAAUUAGCGGAUGACUUGUGGCUGGGGGUGAAAGGCCAAUCAAACCGGGAGAUAGCUGGUUCUCCCCGAAAGCUAUUUAGGUAGCGCCUCGUGAAUUCAUCUCCGGGGGUAGAGCACUGUUUCGGCAAGGGGGUCAUCCCGACUUACCAACCCGAUGCAAACUGCGAAUACCGGAGAAUGUUAUCACGGGAGACACACGGCGGGUGCUAACGUCCGUCGUGAAGAGGGAAACAACCCAGACCGCCAGCUAAGGUCCCAAAGUCAUGGUUAAGUGGGAAACGAUGUGGGAAGGCCCAGACAGCCAGGAUGUUGGCUUAGAAGCAGCCAUCAUUUAAAGAAAGCGUAAUAGCUCACUGGUCGAGUCGGCCUGCGCGGAAGAUGUAACGGGGCUAAACCAUGCACCGAAGCUGCGGCAGCGACACUGUGUGUUGUUGGGUAGGGGAGCGUUCUGUAAGCCUGUGAAGGUGUGCUGUGAGGCAUGCUGGAGGUAUCAGAAGUGCGAAUGCUGACAUAAGUAACGAUAAAGCGGGUGAAAAGCCCGCUCGCCGGAAGACCAAGGGUUCCUGUCCAACGUUAAUCGGGGCAGGGUGAGUCGACCCCUAAGGCGAGGCCGAAAGGCGUAGUCGAUGGGAAACAGGUUAAUAUUCCUGUACUUGGUGUUACUGCGAAGGGGGGACGGAGAAGGCUAUGUUGGCCGGGCGACGGUUGUCCCGGUUUAAGCGUGUAGGCUGGUUUUCCAGGCAAAUCCGGAAAAUCAAGGCUGAGGCGUGAUGACGAGGCACUACGGUGCUGAAGCAACAAAUGCCCUGCUUCCAGGAAAAGCCUCUAAGCAUCAGGUAACAUCAAAUCGUACCCCAAACCGACACAGGUGGUCAGGUAGAGAAUACCAAGGCGCUUGAGAGAACUCGGGUGAAGGAACUAGGCAAAAUGGUGCCGUAACUUCGGGAGAAGGCACGCUGAUAUGUAGGUGAAGUCCCUCGCGGAUGGAGCUGAAAUCAGUCGAAGAUACCAGCUGGCUGCAACUGUUUAUUAAAAACACAGCACUGUGCAAACACGAAAGUGGACGUAUACGGUGUGACGCCUGCCCGGUGCCGGAAGGUUAAUUGAUGGGGUCAGCGCAAGCGAAGCUCUUGAUCGAAGCCCCGGUAAACGGCGGCCGUAACUAUAACGGUCCUAAGGUAGCGAAAUUCCUUGUCGGGUAAGUUCCGACCUGCACGAAUGGCGUAAUGAUGGCCAGGCUGUCUCCACCCGAGACUCAGUGAAAUUGAACUCGCUGUGAAGAUGCAGUGUACCCGCGGCAAGACGGAAAGACCCCGUGAACCUUUACUAUAGCUUGACACUGAACAUUGAGCCUUGAUGUGUAGGAUAGGUGGGAGGCUUUGA